CCUACGGGGCGCAGCAGUGGGGAAUAUUGCACAAUGGGGGAAACCCUGAUGCAGCGACGCCGCGUGAGCGAUGAAGUAUUUCGGUAUGUAAAGCUCUAUCAGCAGGGAAGAAAAUGACGGUACCUGACUAAGAAGCCCCGGCUAACUACGUGCCAGCAGCCGCGGUAAUACGUAGGGGGCAAGCGUUAUCCGGAUUUACUGGGUGUAAAGGGAGCGUAGACGGCUUGGCAAGCCAGAUGUGAAAGGCUGGGGCUCAACCCCAGGACUGCAUUUGGAACUGUCAUGCUAGAGUGUCGGAGAGGCAG
RNAcentral lists this ribosomal RNA (305 nucleotides) under uncultured bacterium. RNAcentral describes it as "bacterial SSU rRNA". It matches the Rfam family "Bacterial small subunit ribosomal RNA", at positions 338 to 660 of the family's 1533-position model. The record is from RNAcentral.